CAACUUAUAAACCUUUCAUGGGUCUAUAGGCUUGGAAUUGGAGGCCUGUCGGCGGUCAGCGUCGGCUCCUCUCAAAUGCAUUAGCUUGGUUCCUUGCGGAUCGGCUCCCGGUGUGAUAAUGUCUACGCCGUGACCGUGAAGCGUUUGGCAAGCUUCUAA
This 159-nucleotide unclassified non-coding RNA is filed under the name Neofavolus cremeoalbidus. RNAcentral's name for it is "partial ITS2". The record is from RNAcentral. Lineage: Eukaryota; Fungi; Basidiomycota; Agaricomycetes; Polyporales; Polyporaceae.